GAUCAGCCCUCUACGGGAGUGCUAGCUCUUACAGUCUGCUUCUGAUGGUAGAUCUGACUUGAUCUCCUUCUUUGAUUAUCUUGAACCUUUUUGAUAUUAAAGAUGGAUUAGAGAAGGAUACUGGAUGGUAGAGAAAAAUUAGAUGAAGACUCUCUUUUCUUUGGUUUUUUCCUUACCAAAAAAUCUAGAACAGUUCUAGGUCUCUCACCCAAGAGGAGAACGGUCUCCUCUUUUGUUCACACCA
This 244-nucleotide long non-coding RNA is filed under the name Elaeis guineensis (African oil palm). Its description in RNAcentral is "long non-coding RNA (EGUI_LNC058222)". Lineage: Eukaryota; Viridiplantae; Streptophyta; Magnoliopsida; Arecales; Arecaceae. The record is from RNAcentral.